Long non-coding RNA from Chelonia mydas (Green sea turtle), 1398 nucleotides. RefSeq lists it as uncharacterized. The transcript has 3 exons. NCBI's taxonomy places the organism in Eukaryota, Metazoa, Chordata, Testudines, Cheloniidae. The record is from RefSeq and is a predicted model, not a curated record.
AGCAGGUCAGUUUUAAAAGAAAUAAAGUGCCAUGGGUAGUGUUGAUAUAUACAAGAAACACUAAAAGGUUAUAAGAGUAAACUGUAGAGAAGUAGCAGUUGUUGACAAAUGAUGGUAGAGGAUGUCAAGAGUUUGUCUGUCUUUAACUUGGAUAAAGAGUAAUUGCAAUAAGAACUAAAAACAUAUGAUAGCUAGACUGAUGAGUUAGGGAGAAUACCCAGCGUGAUCAAGCAGCCCAGCACCAACUGAAAGCAAGAGGGGUAACAAAGAACCUCUGGUCUCUUCAAGAUGAGUGUCAACUAAGGAAGAAUUUACAUCCGCACAAGAUUCUUGGGGGAAGCACCUAGCUAUUCCAUGGUGGCCCUUCUGAUAUCACCUUUCCAUUGGCAUGUCCACCUGGCACUGAUGUGAGAGAGUCACAGGUUGACCUGAAUCAGUAGAGCACAUAAUGAGGGAACUAAAAAUGCUUUCUAUAAUUGUGGAAUAGGUCCCAGGUAGCUAGUGACCAAACUGCUGGGUACAGGGAGUGCUGGAUGAUUUCAAUUCUCCUUGAUUUGUUUCUUCAAGAAUUGAAUAUGCAAUUCAGCUACAAGCAAAAUUUGUUGGCAUUAAAAAAAAAAAGACAGUGUCUCCAUAGAAAUGAACUGACUCCUCACAAACUGUAAAGAAGGGAGUAAAUUGGACAGCAGUUAAUGCCACUUCAUUUGGAUUUAAAGUCAUUAGAGCAAGAAAGAAGCUGGGAUUCUAAAAGUGACAUUUCUAAGUUUCACUUUUAUGCUGUAGAAUUAAAAAUGUAUUUGUUGCUUUUAUGACAGAAAAAAAAAGCCUUAAUGCCACCAAAUGUUCUGACAAGAACUUUACGACUUACAUAUAUUUUCUGCCAUACAAUAACAGGCUAUUGACUGUGCAAAGGGAAAUGAGAGUAAUAAAAUAAGGAAACUUUCACUGUCUUUGAAACCAUUUUAAAAAAUUGUACUUGUAAAUGUUCAGAUUUGUCUGCAGGGAAUCAGACAGUAGUUCACUGGAAUUUACAUGGAUGAUAGUUUGCACAGUGCUCUGUCCUAGUAAAUCUACAGGAAGUCUUUGCUUAUCUUAUAAUGAACUUAUUUAAAGAUGGAAGAAUGUUUUUGAAAUUUAAAUGUAGUGGGCUGAAAUGUUUCCCAUAGGACUGAAUAAUAUCUUCAUUAAGAAGCGAUGAGGGGACCAGAAAACCUUAACAUUUUUUCAGAGAGGGAGGAGGUAAAGCAAUUAUGAGAUAUAGAAAAUUAAAAAUGCAGAGAAGUAAUGGUUUGUUAACUCUCUAUUAAAACAUAAAGUAAUUAUAGAGCUGUAGUUUUACUGUCUCAGAUACCUCUCCUCUAACUCCAUCUUGGAUUCCCCACAAUUGGGCUUCUGUCC